AACGAACGCUGGCGGCAUGCCUAACACAUGCAAGUCGAACGAGACCUUCGGGUCUAGUGGCGCACGGGUGCGUAACGCGUGGGAACCUGCCCUUAGGUUCGGAAUAACUCCCCGAAAGGGGUGCUAAUACCGGAUAAUGUCUUCGGACCAAAGAUUUAUCGCCUUUGGAUGGGCCCGCGUUGGAUUAGCUAGUUGGUAGGGUAAAAGCCUACCAAGGCGACGAUCCAUAGCUGGUCUGAGAGGAUGAUCAGCCACACUGGGACUGAGACACGGCCCAGACUGCUACGGGAGGCAGCAGUGGAGAAUAUUGGACGAUGAGCGAAAGCCUGAUCCAGCAGUGCCGCGUGAGUGAUGAAGGCCUUAGGGUUGUAAAGCUCUUUUACCCGGGAUGAUAAUGACAGUACCGGGAGAAUAAGCUCCGGCUAACUCCGUG
RNAcentral lists this ribosomal RNA (433 nucleotides) under uncultured bacterium. RNAcentral's name for it is "partial 16S ribosomal RNA". It matches the Rfam family "Bacterial small subunit ribosomal RNA", at positions 29 to 507 of the family's 1533-position model. The record is from RNAcentral.